AUGAACGCUGGCGGCGUGCCUAAUACAUGCAAGUCGAGCGAACGGACGAGAAGCUUGCUUCUCUGAUGUUAGCGGCGGACGGGUGAGUAACACGUGGAUAACCUACCUAUAAGACUGGGAUAACUUCGGGAAACCGGAGCUAAUACCGGAUAAUAUUUUGAACCGCAUGGUUCAAAAGUGAAAGACGGUCUUGCUGUCACUUAUAGAUGGAUCCGCGCUGCAUUAGCUAGUUGGUAAGGUAGCGGCUUACCAAGGCAACGAUGCAUAGCCGACCUGAGAGGGGUGAGGGCCAACCUGAAACUGAAAAAGGGCCCAACCCCCCAGGGGGGGACGAGGAGGGAAACUUCCCGAAAGGGGGAAAAGCCUAAGGGGCAAACGCCGGGGGGGGAGUGAAGUGUUUCGAAUGGUAAAACUUUUUUUUAGGGAAAAAAAAAUUUGGAAGGAACUGUGCACCUUUUUAAGGGUACUAAAUCAAAAAGCCCCGGCAAACAACGG
RNAcentral lists this ribosomal RNA (495 nucleotides) under uncultured bacterium. Its description in RNAcentral is "partial 16S ribosomal RNA". It matches the Rfam family "Bacterial small subunit ribosomal RNA", at positions 29 to 506 of the family's 1533-position model. The record is from RNAcentral.